RNAcentral lists this ribosomal RNA (497 nucleotides) under uncultured bacterium. RNAcentral describes it as "partial 16S ribosomal RNA". It matches the Rfam family "Bacterial small subunit ribosomal RNA", at positions 28 to 507 of the family's 1533-position model. The record is from RNAcentral.
GACGAACGCUGGCGGCGUGCCUAAUACAUGCAAGUUGAGCGCUGAAGGUUGGUACUUGUACCGACUGGAUGAGCAGCGAACGGGUGAGUAACGCGUGGGGAAUCUGCCUUUGAGCGGGGGACAACAUUUGGAAACGAAUGCUAAUACCGCAUAAAAACUUUAAACACAAGUUUUAAGUUUGAAAGAUGCAAUUGCAUCACUCAAAGAUGAUCCCGCGUUGUAUUAGCUAGUUGGUGAGGUAAAGGCUCACCAAGGCGAUGAUACAUAGCCGACCUGAGAGGGUGAUCGGCCACAUUGGGACUGAGACACGGCCCAAACUCCUACGGGAGGCAGCAGCAGGGAAUCUUCGGCAAUAGACGAAAGUCUGACCGAGCAACGCCGCGUGAGUGAAGAAGGUUUUCGGAUCGUAAAACUCUGUUGGUAGAGAAGAACGUUGGUGAGAGUGGAAAGCUCAUCAAGUGACGGUAACUACCCAGAAAGGGACGGCUAACUACGUG